CGUCGGCCGGCGGAUAUCUUCCGUGGGCUAAGAAUUCCUAGUGGUUUUGUCCUGUGUAUUCAUUAAAUUAUUAAUUGGAAUACGAUUUCUGAACUUUUACACCCUGAAUUUUACUUAUUUUCUUGUCUUAUCUUAUAAAGAAUUUUCCAAAUUUUUAUAAUGUUGAAUCUUUUGGCUGCUAGCGCUUUUAGUUUAGAUGAUAUUUGUUACCGAAAUUAUUCAAAGAGCAUGAUGCAGCAAUAUUUUUUUGUUAUUAAUUAUUUUCCAUCUUAUUUUCCAAAUUUUAUUAUCUUAUCUUUAAAUUAUUAUUUUUUUGGGUUAAACUUUUUAACGAGACCUUAUGGAUAUCUUUGACCAGCUGUGAGCCGCAUGCUUCUUGAACGAUUUCAAUGAUUCUAUCAAAUAUUGACAGGCCAAGAGGUGGAUGUGGAAGCGGGUCAUCAAUCUGCACUUAUAGGGAGUUUACACCUAAGUCUGACAUCGUAGAAGGACCAUUCUUGCAUGAGAUUUGGUAUUGCACCUGGGUCUAGCAUCGUAAAAUGACCAUUCUUGCAUCAGAUUGGCUAAUUUUUGCUGGUUUUAUGGACAUUGCACCUGAGUCUGACAUCGUAGGAUAAUCAUUCUUGCAUCAGAUGGUAAGUAAUUAAUUUCUUUAUCAUUUUCAUACAUAAUUUAUAUGAACAACUUAUGAAUUAGCGAAAAGAAAUUCUUUUUUGUAUUUCGAAGCACUGAUUUUGCUGGUUUUCGGGGUUUAGCAUAUGAACGCGUAAUAUCAGCGAGGUCCCUAAAGAUGUAAAAUUUAAUUCAUCAUUGCGUUAUAUUCUAAUGUCGUAGGAGAUGUACCUGUAGAACGUGUAGGUAUUGUUAGAUAAAUUGUACGUUUCGUACGUCGUUAUGUCGAUAACUUGUAUCUGUUUGUUUACAUCACGAAGUAUAGGUUUACAUUUAGUCAUUUUGAAUAGUAUAUGGAUUAUAUUUAACAUGGAUUGUGUUUUAUUAAUAUACCAGGAUGAUGAUACUUUUAUGAAACUUUGAUCAUGUUCAAUCUAUGUUCUUUAUAUGUUCCGCAGAAUUUUCUACACUUUGUUUAUGCCUUCAAUUCGACCUUGGCUUGCGCAGCACGCUGUGCGCUGCCAUUUGAAAUUUGAACAGAACCGCACUGGCCGCCGUCUAUCGCCGGCUUCAAGUGACAAUUCGCUAUACUGCUCAGUACAUUUUGCGCUGUCGGGUUAGCUAUUGUUCUUUCCUGAUUAGUCAGUCGGUGCUACGCAAUUGUGCUGUGUGCACGUGUUCUGUUUCACCGCCGGUCUUCAUCGCGACUGUUAGCAUUUCGGGAUACUUUAAUACGGUGCGAGCCUUAGAAUCGUUUAGUCAUCGAUUGCUAUCAACUAUUGAACACGUGAUUUAUCUCAAAUCGACUCGAGACUUAAGCCAUCAGCCGCCGGCCGGCGGAUCUCUUUCGUUGGACUACGGAUUCGAAUUGGAUUUAUAGGCCAAAAUGGUAUUGUUAAUUAGAGGGGAUAAAUCACGUGAGUAGUAACAUCAAUUCUACUAACAGUUCUACUUUGGGUGAAACGUUUGAUAAGAGAGCGUUGUGACUUGAUAGUACGUAGGAUAUAACUUGAAUCGUACGUACGUUCGUUUUAUUAAAAAAAAUGAAGAAUGUAUUGUUAAAUGCAAUUAAUAAAACUCAAUUUAAUAAUAGAA
Long non-coding RNA from Dalotia coriaria, 1707 nucleotides. RefSeq lists it as uncharacterized. The record is from RefSeq and is a predicted model, not a curated record. The transcript is spliced from 4 exons. Lineage: Eukaryota; Metazoa; Arthropoda; Insecta; Coleoptera; Staphylinidae.